AGCUCCAAGAGCGUAUAUUAAAGUUGUUGCAGUUAAAAAGCUCGUAGUUGGAUUUCUGGCUUCAAUGCGCCUGGCCCGCGGCGGUUACGCCUGUGAGUGCCGGUGCGCGUUGGCCAUCCUUCUAGAGAACGUUUCUACCCUUCACUGGGCCGGACUCGCGAUCUAGAUCUUUUACUUUGAAAAAAUUAGAGUGUUUAAAGCAGGCAAUUGCUGUGAAUACAUUAGCAUGGAAUAAUGAUCUAGGACUUCGGUUCUAUUUUGUUGGUUUCUAGAAUUGAAGUAAUGAUUGAUAGGGAUAGUUGGGGGUGCUAGUAUUGGCCGGCCAGAGGUGAAAUUCUUGGAUUCGGUCAAGACUAACCUAAGCGAAAGCAUUCACCAAGGAUGUCUUCUUUAAUCAAGA
This 400-nucleotide ribosomal RNA is filed under the name phytoplankton environmental sample. RNAcentral's name for it is "partial small subunit ribosomal RNA". It matches the Rfam family "Eukaryotic small subunit ribosomal RNA", at positions 587 to 982 of the family's 1831-position model. The record is from RNAcentral.